AUCACCCAGAGAGGUUGUUAAAAUGCAGAUUCUGAUCCAGUAACUGUGGAAUCUGAGAUUCUUCAUUUCUAACAAGCUCCCAGGUGAUGUCCA
Molecule: microRNA precursor, 93 nt
Filed under: Canis lupus familiaris (dog)
Lineage: Eukaryota; Metazoa; Chordata; Mammalia; Carnivora; Canidae
Also listed under: 1 other name
Description: mir-544 microRNA precursor family
Rfam family: mir-544 microRNA precursor family
Source: Rfam by way of RNAcentral